This 1400-nucleotide long non-coding RNA is filed under the name Pogona vitticeps (central bearded dragon). RNAcentral describes it as "lncRNA (ENSPVIG00000003868.1)". The record is from RNAcentral. Lineage: Eukaryota; Metazoa; Chordata; Lepidosauria; Squamata; Agamidae.
UAACUGUCUGCUUUCUCUACAUAGCAGUGUGUGUGUGUGUGUGUGUGUGUGUGAGAGAGAGAGAGAGAGAGAGAGAGAGAGAGAGAGAUGUAUUCCUUAUAGAAAGGAAUACUGGGGGUGGGGUGGGAUCUUUGUAGAAUAUGAAAUCUAAGCAGCAUGAUUCUAAGAAAUAUAAGCAGACCUUAUCCCUUGCCUCCUGAGGAUAUUCCAGUCAGGACCGGCCCUACCAGAAGGCAGAUCAAGGCAACUGACUCAGCCCGUGUAUUUGCAGCUGUUGUGAAAAGAGAACAAUGAGAAAAUAAAUAAUGAACACAUUCCUGCUUGUGUGUAGGUUCUGACCUGGAAAAUCUGAGCUCUCCCCUGUGUGGUGAGCCCACCCACUCUUCCCCUCUUCUGGCUCCUUCUAGCUCAACUGAGCAAAGUGGCGACAGAGAUGGCAGGAUUAGGCCCUCUCCCUUACGGGGUGUUGAUGAAUCCAUAGGCUGUAAUAGCAGGCUAGGGUUUUUGUGACGUCGUCAGCAAAGCUGGCCUGUCAGAGGAGAGAGAAAAAGAGAUCCUGCUGCUGUACAGUAGCUGAAAUGUGGCUCAUCUGGUGGGUAACGUUCUGCCUGUUCGAAAUAAGUAAGUCUUUGGUUCAUCUCUCUAGACUCUGAGGACUGUUUAAAUGUUCUGGUUGAAGAAAUGAUGUUAAAAGCCUCCCCGCUGCCCACACUCACAGGGCGUAUUUUCUUCUAGGAUGCUCCACUGCAAACAUCAGCCAGCAAGAGAAUCUGGUGCUGGAGGAAGGCAAAAAUGCCUCGUUGGCCUGUACACAAUCCUUUGGGCACUACGGCAUGUUUUGGUACCGGCAGGACAAGAACAAGAGGCUUCAGCUCCUCUUUAAUUUCUACCACAAAAAUCUACAAGAGAAGGGUGAAAUAUCUGAACGUUUCAAAGCUGAUCAACCUCAGACAGACCGCUCUAACCUGAAUAUUACAUCGUUUCAGGCUUCUGAUGUCAUAAGGAAGGUGAUUGAGGAAGAAAGUUGAAGCCAUGAAUGCUCCCAGUAGAAAAUAAUCCGUGUCUUUAAGGCGCCACAUUAAUUUUAUUUUGUUUUUGUGGGGUUGUACAUAGAGACAGACCCAGGGGAGGAAGUGUAUGCUUCAACCACAAAAAACUACAUCAGAAACCUAUAUACCAGGGGAGGAAGUGUAGGUUGCAACCACAAAAAAAACUACACCAGAAACCUAUAUACUACUCUAAGGAGGAGAAAUGUGGAUCAUCUGGUUAUGUGGUCAUCUGACUUUUGGAAGUAGAUAAGUUCUUGGCCCAAUCUCCUCUGAUAGGCCAGAGAGGCAGCUUUAGGCUGAAAAUCCUAUAAAACUUUCCUGGGAAAGGGGAAGUCAUGGAAAUGGGGAUUU